Molecule: non-coding RNA, 205 nt
Organism: Pelobates cultripes (western spadefoot toad)
Lineage: Eukaryota; Metazoa; Chordata; Amphibia; Anura; Pelobatidae
Source: the annotation of a GenBank genome assembly
CUGAAUUAUAUGUCCCAACCUCUUCUUUGACCCCAUUCAUGACAGAAGUUGUGUGUGUAUUGAAACGUUGUUGUCCUUGGUACAAUCCUGUUUGUCAUCAUUUAUGAAAGAUAACAUCUCAGGCAUCAAGUACUAUUGACCAGAGAGAGCCUUUGAUAUGUUGAGGACCAUCGCUGGAAUGUUGGGUUGGGCUGUAAUAUCCAUC